AAUGACUCUCGGCAACGGAUAUCUCGGCUCUCGCAUCGAUGAAGAACGUAGCGAAAUGCGAUACUUGGUGUGAAUUGCAGAAUCCCGUGAACCAUCGAGUCUUUGAACGCAAGUUGCGCCCGAAGCCUUUUGGCCGAGGGCACGUUUGCCUGGGCGU
This 157-nucleotide ribosomal RNA is filed under the name Armeria splendens. RNAcentral's name for it is "5.8S ribosomal RNA". It matches the Rfam family "5.8S ribosomal RNA". Rfam says of the family: 5.8S ribosomal RNA (5.8S rRNA) is a component of the large subunit of the eukaryotic ribosome. It is transcribed by RNA polymerase I as part of the 45S precursor that also contains 18S and 28S rRNA. The record is from RNAcentral. RNAcentral also lists the same sequence under 2 other names. Lineage: Eukaryota; Viridiplantae; Streptophyta; Magnoliopsida; Caryophyllales; Plumbaginaceae.